UAGGUCAGCGGCGGACGGGUGAGUAACACGUGGGUAACCUGCCUGUAAGACUGGGAUAACUCCGGGAAACCGGGGCUAAUACCGGAUGCUUGAUUGAACCGCAUGGUUCAAUUAUAAAAGGUGGCUUUUAGCUACCACUUACAGAUGGACCCGCGGCGCAUUAGCUAGUUGGUGAGGUAACGGCUCACCAAGGCAACAAUGCGUAGCCAACCUGAGAGGGUGAUCGGCCACACUGGGACUGAGACACGGCCCAAACUCCUACGGGAGGCAGCAGUAGGGAAUCUUCCGCAAUGGACAAAAGUCUGACGGAGCAACGCCGCGUGAGUGAUGAAGGUUUUCGGAUCGUAAAACUCUGUUGUUAGGGAAGAACAAGUACCGUUCGAAUAGGGCGGUACCUUGACGGUACCUAACCAGAAAGCCACGGCUAACUACGUGCCAGCAGCCGCGGUAAUACGUAGGUGGCAAGCGUUGUCCGGAAUUAUUGGGCGUAAAGCGCGCGCAGGCGGUUUCUUAAGUCUGAUGUGAAAGCCCCCGGCUCAACCGGGGAGGGUCAUUGGAAACUGGGGAACUUGAGUGCAGAAGAGGAGAGUGGAAUUCCACGUGUAGCGGUGAAAUGCGUAGAGAUGUGGAGGAACACCAGUGGCGAAGGCGACUCUCUGGUCUGUAACUGACGCUAAGGCGCGAAAGCGUGGGGAGCGAACAGGAUUAGAUACCCUGGUAGUCCACGCCGUAAACAAUGAGUGCUAAGUGUUAGAAGGGUUUCCGCCCUUUAGUGCUGCAGCAAACGCAUUAAGCACUCCGCCCGGGGAGUACCGGUCGCAAACCUGAAACUCCAAGGAAUUGACGGGGGCCCGCCAAAACCGUGGAACCAGGUGGUUUAAUUCGAAGCAACCCGAAAAACCUUAACAGGUCUUGACAUCCUCGAGAAACCCAAAAAAAGGGCUUCCCCUUCGGGG
RNAcentral lists this ribosomal RNA (956 nucleotides) under Bacillus aerius. RNAcentral describes it as "bacterial SSU rRNA". It matches the Rfam family "Bacterial small subunit ribosomal RNA", at positions 88 to 1025 of the family's 1533-position model. Lineage: Bacteria; Bacillati; Bacillota; Bacilli; Caryophanales; Bacillaceae. The record is from RNAcentral.